Amphiprion ocellaris (clown anemonefish) is the source of this 476-nucleotide long non-coding RNA. The record is from Ensembl. Lineage: Eukaryota; Metazoa; Chordata; Actinopteri; Pomacentridae.
UGGAUGGUUAGCUCUCUACACGGAUCUACGCAGUGAGGCAGACAUGGCACUUCCUGACGGUCCCUCUCUAUCUCCCGACACAUCCACCAACCACUGGAACACAUCUCCAAAGUUCUGCCGGGCCAGCUCAGCUUCCCCUCAGAAGAAGUUCCGCCAGAUGAAGGAGCCUUUUGAGAGGCAGCUGGCAUCGUGAUUGGACUGUACUUUGGUCUGUUCCAAUCCAGCUUCAGCUCCAGAGACAGCAGGCGGGACGAGUCAACGGAGGCCGGGUGGACGAAGACCAAAGAACUACAGACUCUUCACAACCUGCUCAAACUCUUGGUACAGGACCUCACCACACGGGUCAAGAAGGUUUCUGUCUCAUUUCUACUCUGAAGCUCACCUUCUCCUGCUCAAACUGCUGACAAAUGUUUCUGCUGCUCUAAAGUCUGGUCUACAGAACUUCCUAAAAACUCUCAAAGUCUCUUCUGCUGCAG